GUGUGUGUAUAUAUAUAUAAUGAUAUAUAAUGCAACUUUUUGAGUGGGAUUUGGGUGUAUAUAAACAACCCUUCACUUCUUUACCUAUUCCAUCGCCAUUCUUAAUUCUUCUCUCCCUUUUUCUUUCUUUAUUCUUUAAUCACUCUUAAGAGAGGAAGAGAAGAUGAGUAGACCGGGAGACUGGAACUGUAGGUCAUGCCAGCAUUUGAACUUCCAGAGGAGGGAUAUGUGCCAGCGUUGCGGCGAACCGAAGAGCGGCGGCGGUAUCGGAAGAGGUGGGUCUGGUUUCGGGUACGGAGGAUCGGAUGUGAGGCCCGGGGACUGGUACUGUAGCGUUGGAAAUUGUGGAGCUCACAAUUUUGCAAGCCGAUCAAGCUGCUUCAAAUGUGGAGCUUUCAAAGACGACAUGUCGGCCUUUGACUUCGAUAUUCCUCGUCGUAGUCCUAGAGGGAUUUCCCCAUUUGCUUUUCCCAGUCCCGCCCGUACUGCUGCCUCCGCUUGGAAGUCCGGUGACUGGAUUUGUGCAAGGUCGGGUUGCAAUGAACAUAACUUUGCAAGCAGGAUGGAGUGCUUUAGAUGCAGUGCUCCGAGAGACUCCUAUUAACAAAAUUAGCCAAGCCAAAAUCCUCCUUCAUCAUCAAGUUUUGGGUAUGCUCUCAACUGAGAAAAAUUUCAAAGAGACUUCAUAACCUGCACUACCUUUUCUUCUCUCUCUUUUUGUUUUCUGGUUUUGUAACCUUUUUUUAAUGAGUGAUGUUAAUUUAUGUGAUGAUAAAAAAUUGAGAUAUUGUCCAAAAAUCAAUCUUCAUUCUCUGUUUUUUUUUUUUUUUACAAAAUACUAGAGGUCGAAAGGUUGGUAGUUAUUCAAAUAUCUCAAUUGACACA
Molecule: long non-coding RNA, 885 nt
Organism: Cucumis sativus (cucumber)
Lineage: Eukaryota; Viridiplantae; Streptophyta; Magnoliopsida; Cucurbitales; Cucurbitaceae
Exons: 4
Source: RefSeq, a predicted model, not a curated record